GCCCGGAUGGUGGAACGGCAGACACAAGGAGCUUAAACCUCCCAGGCCGCAAGGCCGUGCGGGUUCGAAUCCCGCUCCGGGCA
Actinospica robiniae DSM 44927 is the source of this 83-nucleotide transfer RNA. It matches the Rfam family "tRNA". From Rfam's summary of the family: Transfer RNA (tRNA) molecules are approximately 80 nucleotides in length. Their secondary structure includes four short double-helical elements and three loops (D, anti-codon, and T loops). Further hydrogen bonds mediate the characteristic L-shaped molecular structure. tRNAs have two regions of fundamental functional importance: the anti-codon, which is responsible for specific mRNA codon recognition, and the 3' end, to which the tRNAs corresponding amino acid is attached (by aminoacyl-tRNA synthetases). tRNAs cope with the degeneracy of the genetic code in two manners: having more than one tRNA (with a specific anti-codon) for a particular amino acid; and 'wobble' base-pairing, i.e. permitting non-standard base-pairing at the 3rd anti-codon position. The record is from Rfam. Lineage: Bacteria; Bacillati; Actinomycetota; Actinomycetes; Catenulisporales; Actinospicaceae.